Molecule: ribosomal RNA, 510 nt
Filed under: uncultured bacterium
Lineage: Bacteria
Description: partial 16S ribosomal RNA
Rfam family: Bacterial small subunit ribosomal RNA
Source: RNAcentral
GACGAACGCUGGCGGCGUGCUUAACACAUGCAAGUCGAACGAAGAGCGAUGGAAGCUUGCUUCUAUCAAUCUUAGUGGCGAACGGGUGAGUAACGCGUAAUCAACCUGCCCUUCAGAGGGGGACAACAGUUGGAAACGACUGCUAAUGCCGCAUACGAUCUGACCUCGGCAUCGAGGAUAGAUGAAAGGUGGCCUCUAUUUAUAAGCUAUCACUGAAGGAGGGGAUUGCGUCUGAUUAGCUAGUUGGAGGGGUAACGGCCCACCAAGGCGAUGAUCAGUAGCCGGUCUGGGAGGAUGAACGGCCACAUUGGGACUGAGACACGGCCCAGACUCCUACGGGAGGCAGCAGUGGGGAAUCUUCCGCAAUGGACGAAAGUCUGACGGAGCAACGCCGCGUGAGUGAUGACGGCCUUCGGGUUGUAAAGCUCUGUUAAUCGGGACGAAAGGCCUUCUUGCGAAUAGUUAGAAGGAUUGACGGUACCGGAAUAGAAAGCCACGGCUAACUACGUG